CUAAUUAUUUUCCAUAAACCAGAGGUAUAGAAUACACUCUGUAUCACAGAAUUUGCAAAACAUACCCAUGUGAUGUUCUGCAGCCCUCCUAUGCAUGGUGCCUAUAGACAUGAUCACGAGUGCAUGAAUAUUCAUGCACUCUGAUUAGUGGUUCAGGACUAUUAUGUGAGGGCGGCCAUAACCUCAAAAGGGCUGACUCAGCAGUUGGAAUCAUUCCUGUGUUUAGCCGGCUCUUAAUACAGGGUUUUGCAGAAUCUUUGAAAUAGAGGGUGUAGAGCGUUCCUUAUAUGGAUAUCUAAUCUUUACACAUUGUGGUGUCAUAAACACAUUGUGGUGAAAUGCCAAGUCUGCUUAGGAAGCAAAAUUCAAAACAAAAUGGCUUUUUCUUGUGAAAAAAAAGCGGCAUUAUUUGGGAUAUAAGAUGAAGUUGAUCCAUCAACUGUUUGUAGAAUAGUGCAUUGUUGACAUGCUGACUAAGAUCUACAACUUUAUGGUUGACCACAGAUAACCUUAUAAGGAACGCUCAACGCAAAACGCAAAGAUUCUGCAAAACCCUGUAGCUGAAGCUCUCUUCUCUGAAGCUUAGAAAACAUUAUUCUGAAGACUGAAUAACAAUAUAAAGCUUUGUCAAGGAGCAAUGGCUAUUAUCCAGCUAUCCUCCUCUUGGCUAUACUAACGGACAAGACUGGACAGUUAGAGGACUGGAGUAUGACCUGCUCGUUCGAGCGUUACUGGGUAGCUCAGAGGCAUCAAGAGAAUCUACGUUUUCUCAAGCAAAGUUUAACUGAGUUUAUACGAGUUGGGGCCUAGAAUCAGAGAAGUCCAGCAGCCUGCUAAAUCGUUUUGAAACGUAAUUUGAAGGCAUUCAAUUAUCUUGAAGUUGCCCUGGGUCACUGUAAUCGUGCUGCAGCACAACUGGCAACUCCCCAGGCCCUUGUGAAGCAGCUCCCCAUGUGCAUCUUUUGUGUACUCACUCUGUGCAUGUACAAAUUUCGAUUAUAAAUAUUUUUUCCGACCACAUAAACAAUGAAAAUUUGACGCAUGCACAGACAACUAGUACCAGGCCUAGUUGUUCGCCUAACCGUUAGCUGUGGCUUAUGCCGUCUAUUGCGUUGGUCUAGAAGGCAGUUUUAAGGCUCUCAUCUACGUCUAGGAUCAUUAGUAGUAUUGCAUACACUUUCUACAUUGUUACAAUGUGCAUGUACAACAGUACGUGUAUAAUUAUAUAAUACAGCUAGAUUUAUGGGCCCCAUAGUCUCCGUAUAGCAAGUGUUUGGAUCUGUGUUACAGCGAAGUUGAAUAAAAGCGAAAACUCGGCCUGGGAUCAAGGCUAUGACUUAAUUAGCCUCGAUUCCAGGCCGUUUAGGCUUUGUAUUAGGAGGCUAUGAUAUAAGGUUACGGUAAACAGUUUGCUCAUGAAUGUUCAUGAUUUUCUUAUAAUGAUUUUUGU
Long non-coding RNA from Halichondria panicea, 1450 nucleotides. RefSeq lists it as uncharacterized. The transcript has 3 exons. NCBI's taxonomy places the organism in Eukaryota, Metazoa, Porifera, Demospongiae, Suberitida, Halichondriidae. The record is from RefSeq and is a predicted model, not a curated record.